This 781-nucleotide long non-coding RNA is filed under the name Daphnia pulex (common water flea). RNAcentral describes it as "uncharacterized LOC124198144, transcript variant X2". The record is from RNAcentral. Lineage: Eukaryota; Metazoa; Arthropoda; Branchiopoda; Diplostraca; Daphniidae.
CGCCUUCGUUACACUCAACUUUGGCUGGAUGUCAACUGGAGAUUGCUGAUUGCCACCGCACACUGAAUUUGGCAAUUUCGCCCAAGCGCUAUUCAUCGGUUGCCAAUCAUGUUCUUAUGGGAAAAACAAAUUUUCUAAUACCGUGAUAAUUCCAACCGGAAGCUGUAAUCAGACAAAUGAAAACGAAUUUGGGACUCCAGUGUUCAAACAUGGAACUAGUAAAGGUCUUGGCCCGUGCUGUGUCGCUAACUUCCUCGAAGUGAUCAAAUGUUUUCACCUUCUUUGCAGCGAAAACCGGUAAUGCUGUCGAUGGCAGCCAAAGUCGCAAGAAGAGGACGAAAAUAGCCAGAUUGGAAUUGGCGCUUAAUCGUUUCAUUAUAUGUCUACGAGCUAGGUCUCUUAGACAAAGAAUUAUCAAAUGGAGGCACACUUGCGCUUCUGGCUGCUUCUUCGUUCGGGACUUGAAUGCGUUCCCGUUGUCGUCCAUGCUGGUAUUAUUUGUAGAUAGAAAUACAGCAGAUAGAUGUUACUCGCUGAGCCCGUUUUCGAUGGGUGCGACUUGGCUUCACUAACAAUGAUUUUAUCACGAAAUUUUUCGGUUCUUCUUUUAAGUCUAAUCUCAAUAAGGGAAGGGGAUGGUCAGUAAGAAUUGUGACCGCCAGUGCCCUAAGGUCCAUUUUGGCUAUUGCACUAGCGGUUUUAUGUCGCAUUUUAUUGCUUGAGAAAUCUAGCAAAACAGGCAAGAUGAAGCUUAAACCAGGCUUAAACAAAUUUUUUUGUU